AUUAGUGGCGAACGGGUGAGUAACACGUGAGUAACCUGCCCUUGACUCUGGGAUAAGCCUGGGAAACUGGGUCUAAUACCGGAUAUGACCGUUCCGCGCAUGUGGUGGUGGUGGAAAGCUUUUGUGGUUUUGGAUGGACUCGCGGCCUAUCAGCUUGUUGGUGGGGUAAUGGCCUACCAAGGCGACGACGGGUAGCCGGCCUGAGAGGGUGACCGGCCACACUGGGACUGAGACACGGCCCAGACUCCUACGGGAGGCAGCAGUGGGGAAUAUUGCACAAUGGGCGCAAGCCUGAUGCAGCGACGCCGCGUGAGGGAUGACGGCCUUCGGGUUGUAAACCUCUUUCAGUAGGGAAGAAGCCGCAAGGUGACGGUACCUGCAGAAGAAGCGCCGGCUAACUACGUGCCAGCAG
RNAcentral lists this ribosomal RNA (412 nucleotides) under Arthrobacter sp. RNAcentral describes it as "bacterial SSU rRNA". It matches the Rfam family "Bacterial small subunit ribosomal RNA", at positions 91 to 514 of the family's 1533-position model. The record is from RNAcentral. Lineage: Bacteria; Bacillati; Actinomycetota; Actinomycetes; Micrococcales; Micrococcaceae.